CACGCCCUAAACGAUGUCAACUGGUUGUUGGGAAUUUACUUUCUCAGUAACGAAGCUAACGCGUGAAGUUGACCGCCUGGGGAGUACGGCCGCAAGGCUAAAACUCAAAGGAAUUGACGGGGACCCGCACAAGCGGUGGAUGAUGUGGUUUAAUUCGAUGCAACGCGAAAAACCUUACCCACCUUUGACAUGUACGGAACUUGCCAGAGAUGGCUUGGUGCCCGAAAGAGAGCCGUAACACAGGUGC
This 247-nucleotide ribosomal RNA is filed under the name uncultured Comamonadaceae bacterium. RNAcentral's name for it is "partial 16S ribosomal RNA". It matches the Rfam family "Bacterial small subunit ribosomal RNA", at positions 796 to 1041 of the family's 1533-position model. The record is from RNAcentral. Lineage: Bacteria; Pseudomonadati; Pseudomonadota; Betaproteobacteria; Burkholderiales; Comamonadaceae.